GGAGAGGUGGCAGAGUGGUUGAAUGCGGCGCUCUCGAAAAGCGUUGUGGCUGCAAGGUCACCGAGGGUUCGAAUCCCUCCCUCUCCG
Molecule: non-coding RNA, 87 nt
Organism: Chloroflexi bacterium RBG_16_63_12
Lineage: Bacteria; Bacillati; Chloroflexota
Source: Rfam